Molecule: ribosomal RNA, 246 nt
Filed under: uncultured bacterium
Lineage: Bacteria
Description: partial small subunit ribosomal RNA
Rfam family: Bacterial small subunit ribosomal RNA
Source: RNAcentral
AGAAUCAACGCUGGCGGCGUGCCUAACACAUGCAAGUCGCACGAGAAAGGGUAGCAAUACCUGAGUAAAGUGGCGCACGGGUGAGUAACACGUGACUAAUCUACCCUCGAGUGGGGAAUAACUGAGAGAAAUCUCAGCUAAUACCGCAUAACACUUACGAGUCAAAGCAGAAAUGCGCUUGGGGGAGGAGGUCGCGGCCGAUUAGCUAGUUGGCGGGGUAAUGGCCCACCAAGGCGAUGAUCGGUA